Molecule: ribosomal RNA, 241 nt
Filed under: uncultured bacterium
Lineage: Bacteria
Description: partial 16S ribosomal RNA
Rfam family: Bacterial small subunit ribosomal RNA
Source: RNAcentral
CCGGCGCACGGGUGAGUAACACGUAUCCAACCUGCCGUCUACUCUUGGCCAGCCUUCUGAAAGGAAGAUUAAUCCAGGAUGGCAUCAUGAGUUCACAUGUCCGCAUGAUUAAAGGUAUUUUCCGGUAGACGAUGGGGAUGCGUUCCAUUAGAUAGUAGGCGGGGUAACGGCCCACCUAGUCAACGAUGGAUAGGGGUUCUAAGAGGAAGGUCCCCCACAUUGGAACUGAGACACGGUCCAA